GAUAAAUGAGGUCGGAAAUGGUUCCCGACACACUCGCAUAGACGAGUACCUGAGAUGCUGGAUACACCGCCCAGCCAUUUGCC
The submitters of this non-coding RNA (83 nucleotides) gave its source as unclassified sequences. The record is from Rfam.